RNAcentral lists this ribosomal RNA (495 nucleotides) under uncultured bacterium. Its description in RNAcentral is "partial 16S ribosomal RNA". It matches the Rfam family "Bacterial small subunit ribosomal RNA", at positions 29 to 506 of the family's 1533-position model. The record is from RNAcentral.
AUGAACGCUGGCGGCGUGCCUAAUACAUGCAAGUCGAGCGAACAGACGAGGAGCUUGCUCCUCUGACGUUAGCGGCGGACGGGUGAGUAACACGUGGAUAACCUACCUAUAAGACUGGGAUAACUUCGGGAAACCGGAGCUAAUACCGGAUAAUAUAUUGAACCGCAUGGUUCAAUAGUGAAAGACGGUUUUGCUGUCACUUAUAGAUGGAUCCGCGCCGCAUUAGCUAGUUGGUAAGGUAACGGCUUACCAAGGCGACGAUGCGUAGCCGACCUGAGAGGGUGAUCGGCCACACUGGAACUGAGACACGGUCCAGACUCCUACGGGAGGCAGCAGUAGGGAAUCUUCCGCAAUGGGCGAAAGCCUGACGGAGCAACGCCGCGUGAGUGAUGAAGGUCUUCGGAUCGUAAAACUCUGUUAUUAGGGAAGAACAAAUGUGUAAGUAACUAUGCACGUCUUGACGGUACCGAAGCAGAAAGCCACGGCUAACUACGU